UACGUAGGGUGCGAGCGUUAAUCGGAAUUACUGGGCGUAAAGCGUGCGCAGGCGGUGAGCUGUGUCCGAUGUGAAAGCCCCGGGCUCAACCUGGGAACCGCGCUUGAGACUGGCAUGCUCGAGUUCGGGAGAGGAUGGUGGAAUUCCCAGUGUAGAGGUGAAAUUCGUAGAUAUUGGGAAGAACACCGAUGGCGAAGGCAGCCAUCUGGACCGACACUGACGCUGAGGCGCGAAAGCGUGGGGAGCAAACAGG
This 253-nucleotide ribosomal RNA is filed under the name uncultured bacterium. RNAcentral describes it as "partial 16S ribosomal RNA". It matches the Rfam family "Bacterial small subunit ribosomal RNA", at positions 524 to 776 of the family's 1533-position model. The record is from RNAcentral.